UACGUAGGGGGCAAGCGUUGUCCGGAUUUAUUGGGCGUAAAGAGCGUGUAGGCGGCCAGGUAGGUCUGCUGUGAAAACUCGAGGCUCAACCUCGAGACGUCGGCGGAAACCAUCUGGCUAGAGUCCGGAAGAGGAGAGUGGAAUUCCUGGUGUAGCGGUGAAAUGCGCAGAUAUCAGGAGGAACACCGAUUGCGAAGGCAGCUCGCUGGGACGUUACUGACGCUGAGACGCGAAAGCGUGGGGAGCAAACAGG
RNAcentral lists this ribosomal RNA (253 nucleotides) under uncultured bacterium. Its description in RNAcentral is "partial 16S ribosomal RNA". It matches the Rfam family "Bacterial small subunit ribosomal RNA", at positions 524 to 776 of the family's 1533-position model. The record is from RNAcentral.